RNAcentral lists this long non-coding RNA (261 nucleotides) under Homo sapiens (human). Its description in RNAcentral is "HSALNT0175465". The record is from RNAcentral. Lineage: Eukaryota; Metazoa; Chordata; Mammalia; Primates; Hominidae.
UGUCCUUUGAACUUUAGGCCUGUUGAUGUUUUACUCAGCAGUAAUCUCAGACUUGGUCAAAGCAGAACACAUAUUCUCUCUAGUGUCUCUUCAAGAAACAAAAAACCCUGAUCUUUUUCUUUGUUUUCAUCAUCAGUCCAAUUGUUCAAGUCAGAAAUCUAGAAUCCCAAAUCCUUGGCAUCUCCCUCUAUCCCUGUUAAGUUAUUCUCUAGUCCUGUCUCGUCUGUUUCCUAAGUAUUUCUUAUAUCUCUAAUUCUUUCC